AGAGUUUGAUCCUGGCUUAGAACUAACGCUGGCAGUGCGUCUUAAGCAUGCAAGUCAAACGGGAUGUAGUAAUACAUUCAGUGGCGAACGGGUGAGUAACGCGUGGAUGAUCUACCUACGAGAUGGGGAUAACUAUUAGAAAUAGUAGCUAAUACCGAAUAAGGUCAAUUAAUUUGUUAAGUGAUGAAAGGAAGCCUUUAAAGCUUCGCUUGUAGAUGAGUCUGCGUCUUAUUAGCUAGUUGGUAGGGUAAAUGCCUACCAAGGCGAUGAUAAGUAACCGGCCUGAGAGGGUGAACGGUCACACUGGAACUGAGAUACGGUCCAGACUCCUACGGGAGGCAGCAGCUAAGAAUCUUCCGCAAUGGGCGAAAGCCUGACGGAGCGACACUGCGUGAAUGAAGAAGGUCGAAAGAUUGUAAAAUUCUUUUAUAAAUGAGGAAUAAGCUUUGUAGGAAAUGACAGAGUGAUGACGUUAAUUUAUGAAUAAGCCCCGGCUAAUUACGUGCCAGCAGCCGCGGU
Molecule: ribosomal RNA, 519 nt
Filed under: Borreliella burgdorferi (Lyme disease spirochete)
Lineage: Bacteria; Pseudomonadati; Spirochaetota; Spirochaetia; Spirochaetales; Borreliaceae
Description: bacterial SSU rRNA
Rfam family: Bacterial small subunit ribosomal RNA
Source: RNAcentral